UUCGUAGGCGGCUUUGCAGGUGGGGUGUGAAAUCCCCCGGCUCAACCGGGGAACUGCGCUCCAAACCGCAGGGCUUGAGGGAGAUAGAGGUGAGCGGAACUCACGGUGGAGCGGUGAAAUGCGUUGAUAUCGUGAGGAACACCGGUGGCGAAAGCGGCUCACUGGGUCUCUUCUGACGCUGAGGAACGAAAGCUAGGGGAGCGAACG
Molecule: ribosomal RNA, 207 nt
Filed under: uncultured bacterium
Lineage: Bacteria
Description: partial 16S ribosomal RNA
Rfam family: Bacterial small subunit ribosomal RNA
Source: RNAcentral